AUUGAACGCUGGCGGCAGGCCUAACACAUGCAAGUCGAGCGGAUGAAGGGAGCUUGCUCCUGGAUUCAGCGGCGGACGGGUGAGUAAUGCCUAGGAAUCUGCCUGGUAGUGGGGGAUAACGUCCGGAAACGGGCGCUAAUACCGCAUACGUCCUGAGGGAGAAAGUGGGGGAUCUUCGGACCUCACGCUAUCAGAUGAGCCUAGGUCGGAUUAGCUAGUUGGUGGGGUAAAGGCCUACCAAGGCGACGAUCCGUAACUGGUCUGAGAGGAUGAUCAGUCAAACUGGAACUGAGACACGGUCCAGACUCCUACGGGCGGCAGCAGUGGGAAAUAUUGGACAAUGGGCGAAAACCUGAUCCAGCCAUGCCGCGUGUGUGAAGAAGGUCUUCGGAUUUUAAAGCACUUUAAGUAGGGAGGAAGGGCAGUAAGUUAAUACCUUGCUGUUUUGACGUUACCAACAGAAUAAGCACCGGCUAACUUCGUG
Molecule: ribosomal RNA, 484 nt
Filed under: uncultured bacterium
Lineage: Bacteria
Description: partial 16S ribosomal RNA
Rfam family: Bacterial small subunit ribosomal RNA
Source: RNAcentral